AGGCAGCAGUGGGGGAUAUUGCACAAUGGGGGAAACCCUGAUGCAGCGACGCCGCGUGGGCGAAGAAGUAUUUCGGUAUGUAAAGCCCUAUCAGCAGGGAAGAAGAAAUGACGGUACCUGAGUAAGAAGCACCGGCUAAAUACGUGCC
This 148-nucleotide ribosomal RNA is filed under the name uncultured bacterium. Its description in RNAcentral is "partial 16S ribosomal RNA". It matches the Rfam family "Bacterial small subunit ribosomal RNA", at positions 346 to 509 of the family's 1533-position model. The record is from RNAcentral.